AGCCAGCAGGUUAGCUACAAUGUUGAAGGCUGGCAAGAAGGAGCGAGCACUGGAGAGGAAGCAUUGAAGUAGAACCCGUCAUACUGGAUGGCAGGAUUGUGAAUACAGACAGCACCUAGUAAAGCAGGAGAUCCAGCCUCUCCCCAGCAACUCCACUUCAAUGUUGGACCCUACAGACACUCGUCCAUGAGCACCAGGAGAUGCAGCGCCUGUAACAGAAAAAAUGGAAAACAAGGUGAUGAAGGAUGCUCUCGACCCACGUUGACCUUGCAGAAUCAUUCAGCUUUCCUGCCCAUGACUGGAUUCCAUGCUGUGGCGGUGGCUGGCUCCGGGCAGCAGUGAAUGAGGAAGGAGGCUGGACAUCUCAUUUCAUGUCCAGAACAAAGACGGAGAGUCUUGGCGGUACCAACGGCAAUAAGGAAACUGAGGCACAGAGUGAGCGGGAGCACGUGGACAGCAUUACAAGAAGGCGGCAAGGAUCACUCAGGCCACAGUGUGAAGAAUGAAUCACAGGGGGACAAGUUUGAUGCAUACCGCAUAGUCCAGGUGACUCCACGAUGGCCUCUAGCCUUGGGAUCACUGUCUCCUAAGGUAGACUGAAGAGUGGAACAACAGUGGAGGACACAAAAGAUACUGAAAUGGAGGCCCAGAAGGUUCAGUAACUUGCCCUAGGAACACAGUAGAUGCGGGAGCUACUCCACGUGGUCUUUGAAGUCCGGGGAGCCUGGGCGGACAGACAAAUCGAGAGGGAGGGAGUUUUGGCCUAGUUACUACUCAGAACACAAGUCCAGAAGCAGCACCGAGGAGGUGACCCCGCCACCAUCAGCCGUCCUAGAGACCUCCCUGGCAUGGUGCGG
Molecule: long non-coding RNA, 857 nt
Organism: Diceros bicornis minor
Lineage: Eukaryota; Metazoa; Chordata; Mammalia; Perissodactyla; Rhinocerotidae
Exons: 9
Source: RefSeq, a predicted model, not a curated record